GUCCACGCCUUAAACGAUGGGUACUCGGUGCUGGAUCGCAAGGUUCAGUGCCAAAGCUAACGCAUUAAGUACCCCACCUGGGGAGUACGAUCGCAAGGUUGAAACUCAAAGGAAUUGACGGGGGCCCGCACAAGCAGUGGAGCAUGUGGUUCAAUUCGAUGCAACGCGAAGAACCUUACCCGGGUUUGAAAGGCCAGUGACAGCCGAUGAAAGUCGGUCUCGUAGCAAUACGCACUGGUACAGGUGCUGCAUGGCUGUCGU
RNAcentral lists this ribosomal RNA (261 nucleotides) under uncultured bacterium. RNAcentral describes it as "partial 16S ribosomal RNA". It matches the Rfam family "Bacterial small subunit ribosomal RNA", at positions 793 to 1055 of the family's 1533-position model. The record is from RNAcentral.